AUUGAACGCUGGCGGCAGGCUUAACACAUGCAAGUCGAGCGGGGUGAUGGUGCUUGCACUAUCACUUAGCGGCGGACGGGUGAGUAAUGCUUAGGAAUCUGCCUAUUAGUGGGGGGCAACAUCUCGAAAGGGAUGCUAAUACCGCAUACGUCCUACGGGAGAAAGCAGGGGAUCACUUGUGACCUUGCGCUAAUAGAUGAGCCUAAGUCGGAUUAGCUAGUUGGGGGGGUAAAGGCCUACCAAGGCGACGAUCUGUAGCGGGUCUGAGAGGAUGAUCCGCCACACUGGGACUGAGACACGGCCCAGACUCCUACGGGAGGCAGCAGUGGGGAAUAUUGGACAAUGGGGGGAACCCUGAUCCAGCCAUGCCGCGUGUGUGAAGAAGGCCUUAUGGUGUAAAGCACUUUAAGCGAGGAGGAGGCUCUUUUGGUUAAUACCCAAGAUGAGUGGACGUUACUCGCAGAAUAAGCACCGGCUAACUCUGUGCCAGCCGCCGCAGUAA
RNAcentral lists this ribosomal RNA (502 nucleotides) under uncultured bacterium. Its description in RNAcentral is "partial 16S ribosomal RNA". It matches the Rfam family "Bacterial small subunit ribosomal RNA", at positions 30 to 523 of the family's 1533-position model. The record is from RNAcentral.